This 490-nucleotide ribosomal RNA is filed under the name Prauserella muralis. RNAcentral describes it as "bacterial SSU rRNA". It matches the Rfam family "Bacterial small subunit ribosomal RNA", at positions 376 to 875 of the family's 1533-position model. Lineage: Bacteria; Bacillati; Actinomycetota; Actinomycetes; Pseudonocardiales; Pseudonocardiaceae. The record is from RNAcentral.
CGCAAGCCUGAUGCAGCGACGCCGCGUGAGGGAUGACGGCCUUCGGGUUGUAAACCUCUUUCGCCAGGGACGAAGCGGAAGUGACGGUACCUGGAGAAGAAGCACCGGCUAACUACGUGCCAGCAGCCGCGGUAAUACGUAGGGUGCGAGCGUUGUCCGGAAUUAUUGGGCGUAAAGAGCUCGUAGGCGGUGUGUCACGUCUGCCGUGAAAACCUCAGGCUUAACUUGGGGCGUGCGGUGGAUACGGGCAUCACUUGAGUUCGGUAGGGGAGACUGGAAUUCCUGGUGUAGCGGUGGAAUGCGCAGAUAUCAGGAGGAACACCGGUGGCGAAGGCGGGUCUCUGGGCCGAUACUGACGCUGAGGAGCGAAAGCGUGGGGAGCGAACAGGAUUAGAUACCCUGGUAGUCCACGCUGUAAACGUUGGGCGCUAGGUGUGGGGUGCUGUUCACGUGUCCCGUGCCGUAGCUAACGCAUUAAGCGCCCCGCCUG